This 241-nucleotide long non-coding RNA is filed under the name Homo sapiens (human). RNAcentral describes it as "non-protein coding lnc-MEX3D-2:1". The record is from RNAcentral. Lineage: Eukaryota; Metazoa; Chordata; Mammalia; Primates; Hominidae.
GGAAGGGAAUGGCAAAGCUUGGGGAGGCUGCUGGGUGACCCGCCAGGGCAGGGCCCAAGUCUAGACUGGCCAGGACCUGCUCUAGGCGUUUCUGAUGUAGUGAUAUAGAGGAGCUGAGGCCCCCCAGCCAGGGGCCAGGGGUGUCACCAUGCUGGUCCCAGGACUUCCGGAGACAUCCGAGGGAUGAGCUCACUCCCACUGCAGGGUUGCUCAGCUGGCACAUGAGAGUCUGAAGUGUCUG